UUGACAUUUUCUCUUUAGAUUGGCUAUAAAUCAUCCAAAACCCCGAUCGCUUGCAUACUAACUUGCUUAUUGGAAAUAGAAGAAACAUAGGUAUGUCUUCCAAGUCUUCUCCGCUUUUGCUGCUGCUUCUACUCACAAUUUCUUUAGUCCAGAAACCCAGAAUCACAGAAGCAAGAACGCUUUCUUUCCAAGCUAAGCAAAGCGAACAUUCUAAGAUUUUUGCAACUCUGGGAGUAGUUUGCAAGUGCUGUGAUGGCGACCAGGGUGAAUGCACAGCAACAUGGAAGAAGGGAUCUUGCCACAAGCUCCAGUGCCUUCCUUGGAAGAUAGCCUAAAGAUUGUUUCCUUUAAUUUUGUUUUUUCUGGUGCCUGAAGAUGCCGAUAUUCAAUAAUUUAACCCUAAACUAAUUGAAAUCGACUAUAUAUAUAUAUAUAUAGUUUUUUUCAUCGCUCAAUUUUGUUGGACACCACGACGGCAUCCAAAGAUUGUAACAUAUCCAUAUUCAAUGAAGUAAUGAAUUUUGAGCUUGUUAGAUA
Molecule: long non-coding RNA, 537 nt
Organism: Hevea brasiliensis (rubber tree)
Lineage: Eukaryota; Viridiplantae; Streptophyta; Magnoliopsida; Malpighiales; Euphorbiaceae
Exons: 2
Source: RefSeq, a predicted model, not a curated record